This 492-nucleotide ribosomal RNA is filed under the name uncultured bacterium. Its description in RNAcentral is "partial 16S ribosomal RNA". It matches the Rfam family "Bacterial small subunit ribosomal RNA", at positions 29 to 507 of the family's 1533-position model. The record is from RNAcentral.
AGUGAACGCUGGCGGUAGGCCUAACACAUGCAAGUCGAACGGCAGCACAGUAAGAGCUUGCUCUUACGGGUGGCGAGUGGCGGACGGGUGAGGAAUACAUCGGAAUCUACUUUUUCGUGGGGGAUAACGUAGGGAAACUUACGCUAAUACCGCAUACGACCUACGGGUGAAAGCAGGAGAUCUUCGGACCUUGCGCGAUUGAAUGAGCCGAUGUCGGAUUAGCUAGUUGGCGGGGUAAAGGCCCACCAAGGCGACGAUCCGUAGCUGGUCUGAGAGGAUGAUCAGCCACACUGGAACUGAGACACGGUCCAGACUCCUACGGGAGGCAGCAGUGGGGAAUAUUGGACAAUGGGCGCAAGCCUGAUCCAGCCAUACCGCGUGGGUGAAGAAGGCCUUCGGGUUGUAAAGCCCUUUUGUUGGGAAAGAAAAGCAGCAGAUUAAUACCCCGCUGUUCUGACGGUACCCAAAGAAUAAGCACCGGCUAACUUCGUG